MicroRNA precursor from Oryza rufipogon (brownbeard rice), 208 nucleotides. It matches the Rfam family "MIR812 microRNA precursor family". Lineage: Eukaryota; Viridiplantae; Streptophyta; Magnoliopsida; Poales; Poaceae. The record is from Rfam.
AAUAAAUACAGUGUUGCACUAUUUAUUUUCAACGUUUGAUCGUUCGUCUUAUUUAAAAGAAAUUUAUGAUUACUAUUUUUAUUGUAAUUAGAUGAUAAAACAUGAAUAAUACUUUAUGUGUGACUAAUUUUUUUAAAUUUUUUUAUAAAUUUUUCAAAUAAGACGGACGAUCAAACGUUGGACACGGAUUUCCACGGCUACAUUUAUU